AAAUUGAAGAGUUUGAUCAUGGCUCAGAUUGAACGCUGGCGGCAGGCCUAACACAUGCAAGUCGAACGGUAACAGGAAGCAGCUUGCUGUUUCGCUGACGAGUGGCGGACGGGUGAGUAAUGUCUGGGAAACUGCCUGAUGGAGGGGGAUAACUACUGGAAACGGUAGCUAAUACCGCAUAACGUCGCAAGACCAAAGAGGGGGACCUUCGGGCCUCUUGCCAUCGGAUGUGCCCAGAUGGGAUUAGCUAGUAGGUGGGGUAACGGCUCACCUAGGCGACGAUCCCUAGCUGGUCUGAGAGGAUGACCAGCCACACUGGAACUGAGACACGGUCCAGACUCCUACGGGAGGCAGCAGUGGGGAAUAUUGCACAAUGGGCGCAAGCCUGAUGCAGCCAUGCCGCGUGUAUGAAGAAGGCCUUCGGGUUGUAAAGUACUUUCAGCGGGGAGGAAGGGAGUAAAGUUAAUACCUUUACUCAUUGACGUUACCCGCAGAAGAAGCACCGGCUAACUCCGUGCCAGCAGCCGCGGUAAUACGGAGGGUGCAAGCGUUAAUCGGAA
This 560-nucleotide ribosomal RNA is filed under the name Escherichia coli. RNAcentral's name for it is "bacterial SSU rRNA". It matches the Rfam family "Bacterial small subunit ribosomal RNA", at positions 1 to 550 of the family's 1533-position model. Lineage: Bacteria; Pseudomonadati; Pseudomonadota; Gammaproteobacteria; Enterobacterales; Enterobacteriaceae. The record is from RNAcentral.